AGGGCAUGAUGUGAGAAUCCUUUAAACAAUUUUUUAUACCUCUCUCAUGCUUCAAAGAAUGAUUCACUCUUCUUUUGAGAAAAAGAAGCGAGGUCCUUCCUUAAUCG
Small nucleolar RNA from Arachis stenosperma, 107 nucleotides. Lineage: Eukaryota; Viridiplantae; Streptophyta; Magnoliopsida; Fabales; Fabaceae. The record is from RefSeq and is a predicted model, not a curated record.